Molecule: ribosomal RNA, 470 nt
Filed under: Legionella pneumophila
Lineage: Bacteria; Pseudomonadati; Pseudomonadota; Gammaproteobacteria; Legionellales; Legionellaceae
Description: partial 23S ribosomal RNA
Rfam family: Bacterial large subunit ribosomal RNA
Source: RNAcentral
GGAUAAAAGGUACUCCGGGGAUAACAGGCUGAUACCGCCCAAGAGUUCAUAUCGACGGCGGUGUUUGGCACCUCGAUGUCGGCUCAUCACAUCCUGGGGCUGAAGCAGGUCCCAAGGGUAUGGCUGUUCGCCAUUUAAAGUGGUACGCGAGCUGGGUUUAGAACGUCGUGAGACAGUUCGGUCCCUAUCUGCCGUGGGCGUAGGAAAAUUGAGAGGAGCUGCUCCUAGUACGAGAGGACCGGAGUGGACGAACCUCUGGUGCACCGGUUGUCACGCCAGUGGCAUGGCCGGGUAGCUAAGUUCGGACGGGAUAACCGCUGAAAGCAUCUAAGCGGGAAGCCUCCCUCAAGAUGAGUUUUCCCAUGAAGCCCGUUGAAGACUACGACGUUGAUAGGCAAGGUGUGGAAGCGCAGUAAUGCGUGAAGCUAACUUGUACUAAUUGGCUGAUUGUCUUGACCAUAUAAUCUGAG